Non-coding RNA from Rattus norvegicus (Norway rat), 13601 nucleotides. The record is from RefSeq and is a predicted model, not a curated record. Lineage: Eukaryota; Metazoa; Chordata; Mammalia; Rodentia; Muridae.
CAGAGGAAGCCAGGGGGGCCUGCCAAGACAAUGGUGUAGAACCGUAGUCCUAUGUUUCUCUCCAAGACAAAUUACAGCCUUGGGGAGAAAGUUCUGAAAACCUAGAAGAGGAAUUAAUUGGGAGUUCCAGGAAGAAAAGAACCAUUCUCUUCUAAGCAAUGGAUGAACAGUAUAGUAAAGGAGUUGUGAAAAAAAUGCAUCUCAAGGUGGGCAUUGUUUCCUUACUUCUCGGGAUGACAAGUCAUAGGACUUUCGAGUAUGCAGAUGUGGCAGGUGAAUAGACUCUUCCUCUAGCAUGGCCUUUGACCUUGCAGUAAGUCUGAUACGGAGGCAUGUUUUCUAACUCUCACAUCUAAGCCAACCGCAGAAGCUAACCAGGCCAAGAGAACAGAGAGGAGAGAGCCACAGGCUUGGCUCUGCCUGCUUGCUUCGUCCUUGUUCAGCAAGGCACUUGCUAGAGAAACCCCUUUCUCAGCUUUUUUCCAUGGUAAAUGACUGCCACAAUGUGAUCUCAUCUCAGUGAAAGGAAGAAACAAAGUUACCGUGAGCGGUUUUAUUCCCCAGCACGGUUCAGAUACAAAGUAAGCAUCGUCUGAUGUGGAAUUAGGUCAGCCCUUCCCAUAAGCUCCAUAGGGAAAGUAAAUGAGUAACAACCUUUUUAGUCACUCUUCUACCCAUCUGGCUCCCCUCCCCCUUCCUCUCCUUUCUACCUCUUCCUUCCUCCCCUUUCCUUUCCCCUUCCCUUUCUUUCCUUCACAAACAAUUCCAAUCCAAACAUCCAUUCAGACAUCGCAUAAGCAAGGUCUUUGUCCUCUGGGUGGUUGGAGUUCCAGAGGGCAGAAAUGUCUAGAAUCAGGUGCUGCAGUGUAAACCCCUAAAGAGCCCUUAUCCAGGAGAAUGUUUGAGCCUGAGUCAGGAAAGCAAAACACACUUCACCCCCACACAACCACCACCCCUAGAGGUGCAGCCUGGUGCGAGGUGACUGGUUGGUUAAGGAGGGUCAAGAGAAACAGUCUCUGGUAAUCUUCCUUCUGGAAGAGGCUAGAGAGAGGGACUGAAGCUCUGCCCAUUCUACUCUUUCCGCUGUAGAACUCUGAAGCAUUUGAGAACUAUUACUCAAGAGCUAUCAUUCGAGUUUAGGAAGCUAUGUGGGUUAAGGUAAAAGGAACAUUCUGUUCUUAAUUUUAUUGAAAAGUUUGUUAGCUUGCUUUGUAAACCCAUACUAUGUGGGCGUUUCUUCUCUUUUAGGGUCCUGGGGUCUCUUGUUUUCCACUUUAUUCUUCCAAAAAAGAGAGAAAAGGCAGAGAGUUGUGUGCUGCUGCUCACGCCUGUAAAUUCCAUACUUGGGAGUGGGAGGCAGGAGGAAUCUGAGUUCAAAACAAGCCUAAGCUGCAUUACGAGACCUUGUCUAAAUUAAAUAGCUCCUGGGCUCUUCACCCCAUAGCUAUGAAUCGCGGACGAGUGUUUUAUAAAGCAGUUGGCAGGGAAUAAUUCAGGUGUAGGAGAAACAUGUGCUAGGCAGUCCUUUGAGAGCCACAUGUCACAAGUAGAGAAAGCCAGACCUGUGUAAUGUGACAUCCUGCCCACAUAGUGCCCCUGCCUUUGCUCUGUGUAAACUGUCUCUCACUGCUCCUCAGGGUCCGAUCAUCCAUGAGACUGAAUCUACCCUAAUAAAAGACAAAGCCAAGCCUCAAAGUCAACUUAUUCAAAGCUCAUCUUUUCAAAAUGGCUACAGUUUGUAUUUUUCUGAAAACUGAAUUUAAAGCCACGCUUUUCGCCUUCUCUUCCUCCUUCUCUUCUUCCGUUCUCCUCUCAUUUAUAGAGCACGGUUCUCAGAUAGAGUUAAUAAGACUGUGUGCGUGCAUGCAUGCGUGCCUGCGUGCCUGCCUGCGUGCGUGCGUGGCAUGGGGUGAGAUUCUACUAAGAGGUUGCUCUAGAGAGAAACCAGGCUAGUUUAUGCACUUAGUUUUUGUUUUGUUUUGCUUUUGCUUGUCAAAUCCAUCUCCAAGAAAGCUUGCAAGUUCAGAUAAAACCAAAUUCAAAAGGAGAGCGAUGAAAGGGUUUUUAUUUGACUUUUUGGAGCAAAGUUGAGGGAAAGUGUCCAUAGACUUCAGUUUAAAUUGAGAGACAGGCAGGGGAGAAAGGAGGUGAGAGCAGAAAGAAGGAUGGAGACAGAAAAAGAGGGGGUAAGAAAUGUUAGUGCACACCCAGGCAAUGAGUGUGAGCGACCCUCUCUAGAGAGCAAGACACCAGAAUCUUAAAAUAUGAACCAUGACUGGUGAGAUGGCUCAGUGGGUAGAGCUGCUUGCUGCCUCGCCUGGAGAUCUAUCUGAGUUUGAUUCCUGGACCCCACAUGAUGGGAAGAAAGAAUUCCUGAAAAUUGUCCUCAGAUUAUCCCAUUCAACCUGUGGCAUGGGCUCUCUGGAACACACACACACACACACACACACACACACACACACACACACACACAGAGGGGUGGGGAGGGAGAGGGAGAGAGGGACAGAGUGUAAAAAUCAAAGAGAAAACAAGCAAACAACAAAAAUCAGGUGAGGAGGGACUCAAUAAUUAUUACAUUUUUAAAAUGCUCAGAAGAUCAAAUGUUUCAGAGUGGGAAGGGCCCAAUGAGUGUCCUUGACAAUUCGAUAAGAUACUUGGAAAAACUGAAACCAGCAUAUCUUAAAAAAAAAAAACAAAAAACAAAAAACGAAACAGUUUCUCCCGUGACUAAGACAUGACUCUUCAAAACAACAAAGUAAAUGAGUAAGAAAGAACCCAGGGAUGGAGGAUCCACACUCAGAAAGAAAAACGGAAUCACUACACAGGGUCUACGGGAUAGACUCAGAGGGGAGCUGUCUUGGUCAGAGCCGGUGAAGGGGCCACAGGAGAGACUGCUUCACACAGGCCCCCCCAUGCUGCCGAAUGUGUAACGUGUAACAAUGUGUAACCUGUAACAAUGUGUAACGUGUAACAAUGUGUAACUUGGAGGUAAAGACAAAGAGGCAGAAGGGGUUGAGUAUCAGUGAUGAAGUAUGUGGAAAAGCAGGAGGGGGGAAAAAAGCAGUGCUCCUGUCCAGAAAAAAAAGAUAGUUGUGCAAUAAUGAAGCCACCGUGUGAAUGAUAUUUACACAGUCACUGUAGUACAAAUACCAGUUACUGAUUUACAUAAAAUUAUGACACACUCUAUUGAGAGGAUGGAGAAAAUGAAGGGUGCAGGUUCCUUCCCGAAGGCUUGAGCGGAUGAUGGUCAGCACGGUGGUGGUUGUUUUAAAAUUAUGUUUCAGUCUUCCAAGGUGUGAGGUCGUAGACAGAAUUCUUCAGUGAUAGAAGCAUGUAUUUAGGGGUUGAGGUCAGUGGUAGAGCGCUUGCCUAGCGAGCACAAGGCCCUGGGUUCGGUCCCCAGCUCUGAAAAAAAGAAAAAAAGAAAAAGAGAAAAAAAAAAAGAAGCAUGCAUUUAGGAAUACAGAAAGGAGUGCUGGAGAGUCAGCUCAAAAUGAUUUCAAGGUGUUCUUCUGAGGAACAAAACGGGGAGGAAAGUGGGGUGCUUCUAUGUCCAAAACAAGCCUAAUGAAACUAUUUCACCUUCAAAGUUAUAUACAGGUUUAACUUGGCCAUAGCCCAAGAGCAGAUAUAUCUGGAUGUUUUGCAAAUCUGUAGAGUGCUUACCUAGUAUGCACAGAGCCUGAGGUUUGAUCCCUGACUGAAUAAAACCUAGGAUGGAAACAGAUGUCUGUAAUCCCAACACUCAGAAGGUGGAGGAAGUUCAGGGCCAGCCUGGGCUAUGUAAAACUGUAUCUCAAGAAAAAGAACUGGAAGGAACUUUUUUGUUCUUUUCUCCUAAUGUGAGCCAGCCGGCCUGGAAGUUGCCUUUAAACUCUCUGAAUCCCUCUGCCUCUGCCUUCUGAGAGCUAACAUCAAAGGUUUGCACCAUCUUGGCUGCCAAGAGACUUUUAAGGUGAACAAAGUCCACUAGAAACCCAUCCCUCAAGCUCUCAAUCCCCCAACCUCCACCACCGACUCUCUCUAUCAGGCCUCCCACAGCCAGGGCAGUGUUGAACUUUUUAAAAUAGUGAAACAUUCACAUAACACGCAAUGCAUUUUAUCAAAUGUAGCCUUUAACUCUCCAUCCUUCUGCCUUAGUCUCCUGAGUUUACGGUUGUGUGACACUCUGUGUGGAAUCUCCCAAAUCUUCACAUUUCUUCAACUCCCACCCAUCCACAGUGGCUACACCCUAGCACCCACACCAGGGGACCAUAGGACACAGGACUGCGUGACUCUGGGACCUGUGUUUCCAGGAUUAUUGCAGAAGGCUUCAUCACCAGCUGUACUUCUUUGUCACUUGAUGCUUUCUCCCUGGGGCCACAAGUAUCAAAACUAGGUGGAUUCCAUCCUCUUUUGCCUUCUCAACUCCAAGUCCUUGACUUUCUCCCAGGUUCCUUCCUCUGGGAACUCCAUCUCACAAGGACCUUAUCUGCCCGCCUAAAGUGGGACUCACAGCAGCCAAGGCAUUAACACUCGGACAGACGGAUGAUGGGUUCUUAGCCCUCCAUCUCCUUCCAGUUCCUUCUGUUAAUGCAGGGAGGGCCAUGAGUAACCCCGAGCUCCAGGCCAGCCUGGUCUACAUAGCGACUUCCAGGUUUGCCAAAUCUACAGUUUUUAUUUCAAAAACAAGUUGGGGAGUGGGGCAACCCCGAGAAAGGGAGUUGGCUAGUGAGCUGAGGGAAAGCAUGGACUCAGAAAGCUUCAGGCCACAGUACUCGUGACUCCUCGAAGGAUAUUUACCCAGCACUCUACUUCAGCAUGCUCUGUUUGCUGUAUGAAGUACAGGUAAGAAUGGCUUCUUGCAGUCUUUCUGUCAAUUGGCAUGUGCCCUAGGCCCUGGGUUUUCAUAUUCUUUACAAUAAGAAUCCAUUAGUCUUGCCCAAUCUUCCCCUCUCUCUCCCCCUCUACAUAGCCCUGUAGCCCUGACUGUCCUGGAACUCACUACGGAGAUCUGACUGGUCCACAAUUCAGAGUCUCCUGCCUCUGCCUCCCAAGUGCUGGGAUUAAAAGCAUUACAUCACCACACCCAGCUCUUACCUGUAUUUUCAAGCCAUCUUUUAUUCAUGCAGGGUUUCCGCAAUGUGGUGUUUUUGGUUCACUGGGUUAGGAAAAUGCUCCAAAAAUAUUAGCGUAUUUCAUUUUACAAGAUUAAAAAAAUGUUCAUUAACAUCACCACUGAUUUUAUCAGACAAGCCUUAAAUUAUUGGGAAGCUGUCAAACUGUGCCAUAUGCAAGGUUCCCAAACGUCUAAUAGUUGCCUCAAGAAUUAUUAUGCCAUUGUCAUACAUUGUUUCCUUGAAAUAAUAGCUUUACCUUACCAAUAUCUGAGAAAGUCUGCCCAAUACUGAAGUGAUUAACAAUAGAUUGAUCAUCACACUUUGAAAUAAAAAAUAAAGAGCCAGUGUGGUGGCACCCACCCUUAAUCCCAGAAUUUAGGAGGCAGAGGCUGGCGAAUCUCUGAGUUCGAGGCCAGCUUGGUCUCCAUCGAGUGUCUUAAAAAAUAAAAUAAAGUUCCACGUAAAAAAAGUUAAUUCGUUUCAUAAAAUUAGCAGGAGUGCGGCUCCUGGAAACACUUAGACUAAGCUCCGAGACUCAUCUCCAUGCCCCCCACCCCACGCAGAUAACUGAGUGCAGUUAAUUCUGCUCUGAAAGAUCUCAGAUGUCCUUUGACAUUCCCACUAACACUGUUAAUAAAUGAAAAUCCCACUCGCUCACAGGAGUUGUAACAAAGCCUGGCUCUGACCUUCCAGCCCUAAUCUAGUCCUCUCUGCCCUGCCCUGGCCACCACAGUUAAGUUUCUGAAACAUAGAUUUUCCUGUCGGGCUGGAGUACAUCUCAUGACUCCUUAUCACCGAGCAAUCUAGACUCUGUGUGCCUGCCUGGCAUUCACAGCCUCCCCUGCACAUUCUCCUCUCCACACCCCUUCAGGCCCAGUGACACCAGCCUGAACCGUUUCUAAUCGCUUUGCUUUGUUCUCUGUACCAUUUUCCUUUAUGGCGACAUACUGUGGGGUCUUUCUUUGAAUGGGAGCUCUGCCUCUUACGUGAGAGAUACCUACAGGAAGCAGUAAGAUCCCGCCCUGCUUAGCCAGGUCCCUCUACGAAAGAGGCAGUUGGGGACAGGAGCCCAUACCCAAGGUCGCACGUGGGGCAGGGCUGGCUGUGUAGGGCCCACAACUCCGAGCUCCAUCUCGUCAAAGAGGGAGACUUAUAGAGGGGAGGGGGAGUUAGAUCUCCAGGAAACUCUCCAUCAACGCCACCUGGGAUGAUGUCUGCGAGGUGCGCGCGCAUCCCCUGCUCCAGCAGAGCCAGGAGAGGGAAGAGGGCGGCGGGGAGAGGGAGGUGGGGGCUGGAGGGGGGGCAAAAGAUGCUCCACAGCCGCCCCUUCCCCUCCCCCCUUUUUCCCCCCCGCAGCUAGGAGGCUGCAGGGGCGGCGCCUCCUGAUUGGAGCCGGCACCCGCAGAGCCACAGCGCGGCUGCUGAUUGGCUACGAGAGGGUGUUGACAGCCUGCUCUACUGGAGAAAAGACAAGGCUGGAUACUAGAGGCGGUUUCUUCACCUUCUGCCCCAGGAGCAAGAGGAAUUCAGAAGAUCUGUGGGGGACUUUGGAAUAAAUGAGGAGAAAAGGACCAGAUGGCGGUGUGCAUGGAUACCCAAGGGGGACAGUCAUUGGUAGUGGGGCUAUAAAACGGUGCAGCCCCUGUGAAAGACAGUUCGAUGUCCCACAAGAAUAAAGGUUACCGUAGGAGCAAUGAAAUCCGCUCCUGGUUACACAUAGAGGAUACUGAGAACCGGUUCUUAAAUAUUUGCAAAGAAAUACUUGUAGCAACACAUUUCACACUUACUGAAAGGUGUACACCAACAAAAGGUACACUACAGCCCACCAUCGAUCAGCAGAUCAAUGGGAAUGGGCUCUUGAUAGACAUCACGAAAUGAAUGGACAAAAAGUCAUGCGGCUGCGUGACUCUGUUCCUGGGAAAGACCACCAAUAGGCAAAUCCUAGAGACAGAGCGUUAAUUGUUGCCAGGCGUAAGGGAGCUGGGAGGAGCUGGAGUUGGGGGGAAAACCACUCUUGAAUGAGAAUGGGUUUUCCGUGGAGGUGAUUUAAAAUGGUUUAGAACCAAGGGUAACAAUGGCACAUUAUUAUGACUGUACUAAAUGUCACAGCAGCGUUUGACUUAACGGCUAAUUUUAUGCUGUGAAAAGCCCUUCAGUGUAAGUGUGUGUAUGUGUCAGAAAUCACAGACUCUAGAAGAAUCCUGCUGCUCUUCAAGUGUUUCUAAAAAAAUGAGGAGGGUAUGGAGCCCUGAGGAGUUCUGGGUCCCCCUCUGCCUUUCGCCUUCGUCUCUCUCCUCUCUUCUCCUGGUUGACAGGUCUUAUAGCCGGGGACUGGUUACCGGCCCAUCCCUGUGAGAGAAAACUGGAACCGAGUAUGUAGCUCAGGGGUGGAGCCCUUGCCUAGAAUAGCAAAGGUCCUUGCUUCAGUCUCUGCUCUCUCCCCUGCUCCCCAGAAGGAGAAAGCUGGCCUUGAGAAGCAAGCAUUUCAAAGGAUACCAGACUUGGGCUGGAAAAGCAGAGAUGGAGUUCCUGCUUUUUCUGAUAUCAGGGUAUGGCCUAAACCUUAGGCGUGACUGGAUAUUAAGAUGGUCCUGUGGUCAGACUGAGUGGGGUUCCUGAAGAACAAAAGGAGCUUGUGCAGGAAUGAUUGUGUGAAUUCCGCCUCCCACCAUUCCCAGGCAGGAAGUAGGGCUGCUCCACUGGCUUCCUUUCUUGGUGUAACUGAGCACAACAGGCAGUUAAUGGGUGUAACAAGAUGCUCACUCCUCCACACAAGGAGGCAAAGCCGGGAUUCUGGAGACACACUACUCUCUUGCUGUCUUUCUCCAGGGGAACUCACCUACAUGGUGAACUAAAGUCAGUCAGUGACAGUAUCUGCUGCUGAUACAGCGGUGUCUCCUCUAGCUUGCCAUGUGUCAUCGGACUGGGCAAGUGUCAUUGAUGCAUCAUGGUGUCCUCCACCUGCUCAGAACAUACAUCUCCGAGUCUAAAGAAAGUUGUAUUUAGAACCGUGCCUUGCCCUGCACCUCCUUUGCCAGUGAAACGCAUUCUCUGGAUUUCCCAUCAGUUUCUCCAGUUAAAGCAGCUGCCUUUGGCAUAUUGUUAGUCUUUUUCUCCUUUGACCUUGAGAUGGUGGGCCCCACGAUACUGGGGUUUAGAGUACAGAGUGCUUCCUUUAACCAAAGCCACGGGUUUUGUCAGUACUUUCUUAAUGUAUUCGAUAUUGAAUUAACAACAACAAAAUACAUAGAGUGCGCUGGUUUGUUUCAGAUAGUUUAAUUAGAACUGUUUCGUCUGUGAGUGUGUGCAUGUGUGUGUGUGUGUGUGCGCGCGCGCGCGCGCGCGUGUGGACAAGAGCGUGCUCACACGCAUAGUUAGAAAGCCAGGUCUUAAAUGCUAAAGUAAACGUCACCAUCAAAUUACACCUCAGUGUGUUCAGCCUUUGAUGAGAUGACGGUUGUUUGGGAUCCACCUUCAGAAUAGUUCCGAGCCGUGAUCUCAUCCAGAGUGAGGCCAACCUCCAAUUAGAAAGUGAAGCGAGCGGGCACAGCUUGUUCCAACAGCUCUUGGAAGGCAAGAUGCGGGCCUGGAAGCCCGUGCAGGAAUACAGAGGUUCCACGACUGUAAAGUCUGCCUGCGCUGGCUCGAGUAGACAAUGCAAAAAAACAAAUCAAAAGGGAACAAAACCUACCUUUCCCUGCUGCGGCCAGGGAGUACUGCCUAGUCUAGGAGCCUGGAGCCCAUUACUGAUCUGCUUCCUUCUCUCCUAAGGUCAACAGGCAACAGCAUUUUAGGGGGUUCUUUGUUUCUUGGGGGCAGGCACUCUUGUAUGCAGGAAUUGACUCCCAGACCUGGGCUCUUAGGUAAGAACUCUCCUAGGCAGAUGUCCUGCUUGUGGCUCUCAGCCUCUCCCAGGAUCUCCACAUGGAGUCUUUGUGAUCCUAUGAUUCAUGGAGUCCUAAUGUUUCCUCAGGCAGUGCUGUCAGCUUGUGGAGUUUUUGAUUUAAAGCCAGCAGACUCUGUUUCCUGCUGUCAGAGUUUAACCCCACAUUACUCUUAGGAAGGGUAGGCUACUGGGGUGUGUGUGACUCAGCCUUUGAAGAUUCUGCUUCCUUUUGAUAUUUAAAGGUGCAGGACUUGGAUAGAGUGGUGGGCCAGAAGCAGGUCCCGGGAGACUAUAUCCAAGCCCCAAAGCUUCCCUAACAGUGUAGUCUGGUCAGUAGUGCAGCCUGCCACUUUUAACCCCAGCACUCGGGAGGCAGAGCCAUGCGUUCGAGGCCAGCCUGGUCUAUGGAGUGAGUUCCAGGACAGCUAGGGCUACACUAGAAAAACCCUGCCUGGAAAAACCCAAAGAAGGAAAUAAAGAAAAUAAGGAAGAAAGAAGGAAAGCAAGCAAGCACAAACAUCAGUAAAACUAGCUUUAGAAAUGCCAGCAAAGGAAAGGCUGGCAAACUUGUUCAUAUGCCCCACUGACUCAUUUGAGUUAUAAACCAGAGACUAUAAUUGGGAUAAUAGAAAACUCAGGGAAAGGCCUUGGUCAUCUUUCAUGACUCUUUUUGUUCAAUAUAUCACUCUCAGCAGUCAGUUGCGUCAUGAAACUCACUCUGGCAUGCGUUGUUGACCCCCUAUCGAUUUACUUCAGUAUCUCAAGUGCCAACUUUACAGGUGUGUCCCACCAUGCCCAGCUGGGCGGUCUUUCAACGAAUGUUUUACCGAUGAUGCGUCACAGAGAAACUGGGGCUCACGAAAGGACCCAGCCUCAAACUCCUUUCAUCAGCACGCCCAGUCACUCACUCAGCAAGUUCUCAAUCCCUGGACGCCUUUGUUCAAAAAACAAGAAACAGCCCGCAGACCUUGUUUCUUUUGUUUCUCUCUUUGGUAUUUCCAAGACAGGGUUUCUUUGUGUAGCCCUGGCUGUCCUGGAAAGACCCAGUUUCUUAUCUUAAUUGUUCCAUAUCCUCCCCAGUAAUAGAAAGAAUGGGUAACCCAGCUCAUUCUGUUUUCAUCCAAGUUUCUUCAGCAUCCCCUCUCAGAGAUAAAUGUGUGGGAACAUUUCAGGACCCAGUCAAAUAUAUCAUUCUGUUAAUCCCAAAGAUGUGAGGAGGACCCCUGACCCAAAUUAUCAUGGCAAAGUUAAUUCAGGCAAGCAAUUAAUUAAAGCAACCUUUCUUAUUUGUGUACAUGGGCUGCUUUCCACCUAAGACAGGGUUGGAGAGCUCAGCCUUGGAGGGGAGGAAGACAAGGUUUUUAUAGCUCAGGGAUAGGAAGGCAGUUCCAGGACAGCCAGGGCUACACUAGAAAAACUCUGCCUGGAAAAACCAGUUUCCAAGUGGGGAAAUUGGUGGGCAAAAUAGUUGGGGUUACAGAAGUAGAACAAGCAUAACAAUACUUAGUCCUAAAGCCCUCCUGAAACAUAGACACAGUUGCGAGGUAGUCAUAACAACAGGCAGUCAGGACAAGGUAGUCAUAGCAACGGACAGUCAGAGCAAGGAAGUCAUAGCAACAGUCAGUCAGAGUAAGGUAGUCAUAGCAACAGACAGUCACAACCAGGUAGUCAUAGGUGGUCAUACAACCUUUUGAAACAAAGGUAGGGUUGCAAGAGGGUUAUUAAAUUUUUGAAACUUGUGAAAUCAAAAGGCGUGACUGCCAUCCCUAGAACAGUCAGUACAGAACUGUUUGCAGUUAUGGUUACAGGCAGGGCACAGCCCAAUCCUUGAGAAACAGAGGUUUAAAACAGGAAUGAACCUAGCCUUGUCUUCACUAUAAGGUAUUUUUCAAGCCAAAAAUAGAGGCAGGCUGGUUCUUCAACUCACCUUAAAUUUUGGGUUGCUCCAACACUACCUAGUAAAAAGCUCCCCCCCUCCCCUUUUAAGACAGGGUCUCACUAUGUUAGGCCUGUCUGGUCUACAGUUUGCUGUGGAGACCAGGCUAGUUCCAAACUUACAUACAUUCACCCACCUCUGCCUCCUGGGGACUCUCAUUCAAAGCAUGAGCCACUGAACUUGGCUUGCUAAAUCUUUUCAGAUGCCUGGAAAUGUUAUCGAUUGGUUAUUACUGUGAGAGCAGCAACCAAUACCAUGAGUAGAGAAAUGAAAAGGUGCUGGACGAAUCGUCAAAACUCUGUUUCAGACAGUUCUGGACUCACCCAACCUGCAGGCUUCUGCUCCGUCAAACAAGAAAUCCACUUGCUGUUAAUGGGGAAUAGGGACCUUGCCCACAGAGACCACAUUCUCUACUAAGGAAAUGCUUUUUCUUCAUCCACUGUGUAGGUGAGAUGGAAACUUGGUGUUGUGCCUGAGCACCCUACCCCCACCCCCCCUAUCUCCACACUCUCGGGAGGGAAAGAAGGCUGUGUGGAGAGACUGUGAAAGCCGUUGCUAGUGGCUUAUUCCAGCUCCAAGCCAAUGUUGUAUAUGAAUUCUACCCUGUAGGCUAGCUCUAACCCCUCAUUCACCUGCUUUAUAAGUUUUCUGCCUACUAAAGAUCUCUUCUCUUUCUGCAGAGCAAACUGUGGGCUCUAGAAAAUCAACUGGGCCUUCUCCAGAGAUGGCCCCAGGCUCGAGACAACUCAAGGGACGAGUUACCAGGUUACCAGGAGAGACCUUUGCUUUUGAACUGCAGAAAGCUUUCUAGGUUUUGAAAAGUGGUGACAAGGAGCUGCAGUGAGGGAAAGGGUAGACGAGGGUGGCAGAAAGGGAAACAAAGAGGGCGGAAAUGGAAGACAGAGAAGGGAGGAAGAUCUGUGUGAGCAUCAGAAAGGUCGGCGUGACCUUCCGGUACUGAGCCUUUCUUUUCUUUUCUGAACCGGAGCAGGGUAAGCCAGUCAUCUUUAGCAUCCUGGAACAGUAAGCUUCUGACCACAUAAUUUUUGGAAUGGGGACCAAGAUGACUCUAAACUCAGCCCUUCUUGUAGCCUCCAUCUCUGGUUCUUUUAAUCCUUGCUAAGAUGGGAGGCUUUGCACACCCUUCUGUUCAUUAGCUAGGCCAAGGGCAACCAUGCUGUCUCAGUCGGUGAAGAACGUGGUGAAGUUGAUGUGCCAGCGGUACUCACUGACAGAGUAGUCAUAGGGGAAGGCGUGCUGGUAGCUGUGGAAGCCCUCGCCUGCAACAGAAGCGAGGAGAGCGGUUAGGGCGCUCAGCGAUUGCUGCUUGUUGCUGUUUUGCACAUGUCUACCCUAUCACGUACCCCAAACCAUGGGAAAUCCUGAUGUUGGUGAGUGAAUGGAUAGACACAGUAUUUUCCACUCUAAGGUAAUAAGUUGCUAUCCUAAGACCCUUACACAGGGUUUCCAGAAACCCUGGUCACCAUGGUCUUACGAGAAGAAAGUUUCUAUCAAGUGCAAAGGUGUAAAGAAGAGUUUGGUUCUCCUAGGAAAAGCCAUAACACUGGCAGAAUGGAAUUAUGGGUAUAACUCAGAGAUUGGCCAGCUUCUGCCUCCCAAGGAGGUGUGUACCACCGAUGCCCAGUUUAGGGUCUGGUUCUUACAAAAACGAGUAAGAAACACAUCUUUUUGCACAACACUAGUGAGUGUUCCCCAUAAGGAUAAGAAGUUCCAAGAGAAUACAGUAUCAGCAAGGAGUUAGAUGAACAGAGGUCUGGCCAGAAGAUUCCCUUCAGCCACUACUGGUUCACAAUGGACUGCUCUGACCCUUUAAUAGGGGGAAGGGGAUCCAUGUGUGCUAUGGAUGUGACACAAGUGAUCUACUGUGCAUGGAGCCCUGGGUUCCAUACCUAGCGUAGUAUAAAAUGGUCAUUGUCCACACCUCUAAUCCAAGCACACAGGAGGUAGAGGCAAAAAGCCCAGCUCUGGGUGGCCUUCAGGUACAUAGUUGAGUUAGAAGCCAGCCUGGAGUACAGAAGAGCCUGUCACCAAAAGCAGAACAAUCACACACCUAGAACCACUCUCAUGAGUCUCAGAAAUUCCCACUGGCCUCCACAGUUCAAAGUGAGCUUUUCUCUCUGACCGAAAGGUAAACAAAGUUGUUCUUGACCCAGCACAGUUGGCUAAAUGUGGAAGCUUCACGCUAGUUUGCCAGUUCUUGGCAGUAUUCCUCUUCCUGAACCUACUCCAACGCCAACAAUGCUCGGUGCUCAUCAGGGUUAGGGUAAUGGACAGGUAAGAAGAGUAGGUAGUUGAAGAAAAACACCCCCAGCUAGAGUGGCAAACAUAAAUCAAUACGGAAGAGAAAGAAGUCUUACCAAGGAAACGACUCUAGCCAGGACUUCUCAAGGUUUCAGCACCUGGUUUUCCAUAAUCCGUGCUGUGUGAUGUAAGAACAUGCAAAAUGGGGGAAGGUGCCAGGAACUAGAAGGGAGAGUCAUUAGACAUGAUGGAAAUUCUUUCAGAGUGGCAUGCUUGAAGUACGUCAUAAUUAUUUCUCCAAUACUCUAUAAAGCAUAGACCAGUAUGACACGCUACGGCUGACUCUACGUUUCUAUUUAUUCACCUCCUUUCCAAAACAAAGCAGCAUCUCACAUGACCAGAGAAAGGCAAAUUAAAG